CAGUCGCCGCGGGAAUACGUAGGGUGCGAGCGUUAAUCGGAAUUACUGGGCGUAAAGCGUGCGCAGGCGGUUUUGUAAGACAGGCGUGAAAUCCCCGGGCUCAACCUGGGAAUGGCGCUUGUGACUGCAAAGCUAGAGUGCGGCAGAGGGGGAUGGAAUUCCGCGUGUAGCAGUGAAAUGCGUAGAUAUGCGGAGGAACACCGAUGGCGAAGGCAAUCCCCUGGGCCUGCACUGACGCUCAUGCACGAAAGCGUGGGGAGCAAACAGGAUUAGAUACCCGCGUAGUCCCUGUCUCUUAUAC
This 301-nucleotide ribosomal RNA is filed under the name uncultured bacterium. RNAcentral's name for it is "partial 16S ribosomal RNA". It matches the Rfam family "Bacterial small subunit ribosomal RNA", at positions 509 to 807 of the family's 1533-position model. The record is from RNAcentral.